GUGUGAGUGGUGGCCAAGGCCAGGCUUGUAUCCUGUCUGAUAAGUGGGAAACCAAGUCUCAGAGCAGUUGUGAGUGGUCCAGGCUGUGAGUGGCUGGCGAGUGGGGGUGGGGCUGGGGGAGUGCAGGUGGAAGGAGUUGGUGGGCAUAGCUGGCAUGGCUGGUUCAGGGGGCAGGAGGAACAUGGAGGGCUGAGUAUAGGUGCUGCUCUGGCCUUAGUCUUGGCUUGGCAGUGGGAACAGUAGAGGAACAACAAGAGCAGGAACCCUCUCCAGAGCCAGGGUUGGGGGUGCUUAGAAUGGGAGUAGGCUUUUCCUGUGCAGGUGCUGCUCUGGGCUAGGGCCAGCACCCUGGGGACUUCCUGAUGAUGACAACGCCUGCCCUGCCCACUGCUACUCUUACAGGCAAAGAAACUGAAGCAAAGAGUACAGGGUUGUUACCUGUUGUUUGACUGGGACGAAGACAUGGGUCAUGCACAGCCUCUCCAAAUGCAGGGACCUGCUCCUGGCAAGUGGGGACUUUGAUGAGGCUUCUGAUUUUCCAGAAAUCUGUAGCAGUUCCACUUUGAGACAUGAACCAACCAAGAAGUGGGAGACCUGGGUUCUACACCUGGCUUCUGCCUUUCACUAGUACACAGGUAUUCAAUGGAGAGGAAUUGCACUCAAGGAGAUGCACCUGAGAAACUUCACUCAAGUGGCCUUGUGUACACCCACACCCGAUUUAGAUGAUGCAAUCUUGGAUCUUGAGCCUGAUACUGUAAAGGGAAGAGGCUUUUGAUGAGAAAUCCUGGACUGAUCGCCUGAUGCAGGUGAACUUCCCCCUCAAGC
Molecule: long non-coding RNA, 825 nt
Organism: Marmota flaviventris (yellow-bellied marmot)
Lineage: Eukaryota; Metazoa; Chordata; Mammalia; Rodentia; Sciuridae
Source: RefSeq, a predicted model, not a curated record